Molecule: ribosomal RNA, 520 nt
Filed under: Metarhizium anisopliae
Lineage: Eukaryota; Fungi; Ascomycota; Sordariomycetes; Hypocreales; Clavicipitaceae
Description: eukaryotic LSU rRNA
Rfam family: 5.8S ribosomal RNA (bases 149-302)
Source: RNAcentral
AGGGAUCAUUACCGAGUUAUCCAACUCCCAACCCCUGUGAAUUAUACCUUUAAUUGUUGCUUCGGCGGGACUUCGCGCCCGCCGGGGACCCAAACCUUCUGAAUUUUUUAAUAAGUAUCUUCUGAGUGGUUAAAAAAAAAUGAAUCAAAACUUUCAACAACGGAUCUCUUGGUUCUGGCAUCGAUGAAGAACGCAGCGAAAUGCGAUAAGUAAUGUGAAUUGCAGAAUUCAGUGAAUCAUCGAAUCUUUGAACGCACAUUGCGCCCGUCAGUAUUCUGGCGGGCAUGCCUGUUCGAGCGUCAUUACGCCCCUCAAGUCCCCUGCGGACUUGGUGUUGGGGAUCGGCGAGGCUGGUUUUCCAGCACAGCCGUCCCUUAAAUUAAUUGGCGGUCUCGCCGUGGCCCUCCUCUGCGCAGUAGUAAAGCACUCGCAACAGGAGCCCGGCGCGGUCCACUGCCGUAAAACCCCCCAACUUUUUAUAGUUGACCUCGAAUCAGGUAGGACUACCCGCUGAACUUAA